Molecule: long non-coding RNA, 1106 nt
Filed under: Mustela putorius furo (domestic ferret)
Lineage: Eukaryota; Metazoa; Chordata; Mammalia; Carnivora; Mustelidae
Description: lncRNA (ENSMPUG00000028263.1)
Source: RNAcentral
UUUCUCCUUGACUGCAGUGAGCAGUGUUUGGACAUGGCCAGAGUAUGGUGAGUUUUAACUAGGUGUGCUCUGGUCUGCUUGUUACAAGAGACCCAGUGCUAUUUCUGUUAGAUAUGAAGCUUUGCAGAACUAUGGUCAUUAGACAAGGUGUCCGUGGGGUGGGGUGGGGUUGUGUUGGUCUUCUUGGGGAGGGGCCUGCUGUUCUGGUUCUGAGAUACAACUGCCGAGGUCUGGGUGGUGAGGGGACAGGGCUUGGUGUAAGCAUUAUAGGUCACCACUGUUGGUGCUAUGCUGCUUACUAAAGUUAGUUUAUCCUGAGGGGGAGGGUAGGGAAAUGGCUUUAGCCCUCCCUUGUCCUAGAGAUGGGAGAUUGCAUCCAUUGCACUCUGGGUAGCCUUAUUAGAACAACAUUCUCUUGUGUGUCCCAGGCAUCCCUCAUAUCCCUGCCUUCACUCUCUUUGUGUCUGGGCUGUCUGCUCACCUGGCAGCACAGUGCACCUGUUUUCUAUUUCAGGCAAGCUGGCUGAGUUUUAAAACAACAAACAUUAGCAACCUGGUAUAGUGGGGACUGGCACUCCUACUCUGGGGUAUGGUCUUGCUAUGCUCAGAAUGAUGCAGGUUUGUCAUAGAAGGGCAGUCACACCAAAGUGUAGGGGUGGGAAUUUUGGAGUAAAGUGUAGCAAAGAGCUGUUUCCAGGUUAGCCACCCUAAGCAGAUGUCUCUGCACCUAUGUUGAGUGGCAAAGUAGUGUAAUGGAACCCACAGAACCUUUUGUCCCCAGAGAUACAAUGCCACCUUUUGCAGAUGUGGUCCAGAAAGGAGGAACUGUCUCUCCCAGUGCAUCCCACGGGAUUUUUGGAUCAUGCCCUCUGCUACUGGGCUAUCAGCCCCCUUCUCCACUGGAGCACUGCAAUACCCACUGGCCAUGCCGUGGACUACUAAAACUCAUCAUUGAGCCCUGCUGUUUGUAUAAACUCAUGAAAAUCAGGUCCUCUGGUUUUCCCAGUCAGUGGCUUUGGGGUGACAAGCAUCUGGAGAAUAAUAAACAUAGUCUUCAGUGUAAGGAAAAAAAUAAACCAGAUUUCACAUCACCCUUAGUCACAUAA